Molecule: ribosomal RNA, 504 nt
Filed under: uncultured bacterium
Lineage: Bacteria
Description: partial 16S ribosomal RNA
Rfam family: Bacterial small subunit ribosomal RNA
Source: RNAcentral
UAGGGAAUCUUCCACAAUGGACGCAAGUCUGAUGGAGCAACGCCGCGUGAGUGAAGAAGGUUUUCGGAUCGUAAAGCUCUGUUGUUGGUGAAGAAGGAUAGAGGCAGUAACUGGUCUUUAUUUGACGGUAAUCAACCAGAAAGUCACGGCUAACUACGUGCCAGCAGCCGCGGUAAUACGUAGGUGGCAAGCGUUGUCCGGAUUUAUUGGGCGUAAAGCGAGCGCAGGCGGAAUGAUAAGUCUGAUGUGAAAGCCCACGGCUCAACCGUGGAAUUGCAUCGGAAACUGUCAUUCUUGAGUGCAGAAGAGGAGAGUGGAACUCCAUGUGUAGCGGUGGAAUGCGUAGAUAUAUGGAAGAACACCAGUGGCGAAGGCGGCUCUCUGGUCUGCAACUGACGCUGAGGCUCGAAAGCAUGGGCAGCGAACAGGAUUAGAUACCCUGGUAGUCCAUGCCGUAAACGAUGAGCGCUAGGUGUUGGGGACUUUCCGGUCCUCAGUGCCGCA